UCCGCCAGAGAACUACAAGUGAAAAACUUGAAACUCAAAGGACUUGACGGUGUCCCAUAUCGACCUAGAGGAGCCUGUCCUAUAAUCGAUACCCCCCGUUCCACCCAACCCCAACUAGCAAAAUACCAGCCUAUAUACCGCCGUCGACAGUCUACCCCAUGAGGGCUCAACAGUAGAUACAAUAGCCUUAACGCUAAUACGUCAGGUCAAGGUGUAGCAGAUGUUGGGGAAAAGAUUGGCUACAUUUUUUAUGAUAAAAAACACGAAUUGCACUAUGAAACACUGCAUGAAGGUGAAUUUAGUAGUAAAACAGACAAGAGUGUCUGUUUUAACAACGCUCUGG
Molecule: ribosomal RNA, 343 nt
Filed under: Podarcis tiliguerta
Lineage: Eukaryota; Metazoa; Chordata; Lepidosauria; Squamata; Lacertidae
Description: 12S ribosomal RNA
Rfam family: Bacterial small subunit ribosomal RNA
Source: RNAcentral